AUUGAACGCUGGCGGCAGGCCUAACACAUGCAAGUCGAGCGAGCGGCGGACGGGUGAGUAAUGUCUGGGAAACUGCCCGAUGGAGGGGGAUAACUACUGGAAACGGUAGCUAUUAUCGCAUACCAUCAGAUGUGCCCAGAUGGGAUUAGCUAGUAGGGGGGGUAACGGCUCACCUAGGCGACGAGCCCUAGCUGGUCUGAGAGGAUGACCAGCCACACUGGGACGGAGACACGGUCCAGACUCCUACGGGAGGCAGCAGUGGGGAAUAUUGCACAAUGGGCGCAAGCCUGAUGCAGCCAUGCCGCGUGUAUGAAGAAGGCCUUAGGGUUGUAAAGCACUUUCAGCGGGGAGGCGUUACCCGCAGAAGAAGCACCGGCUAACUCCGUGCCAGCAGCCGCGGUAAUAC
Molecule: ribosomal RNA, 406 nt
Filed under: uncultured bacterium
Lineage: Bacteria
Description: partial 16S ribosomal RNA
Rfam family: Bacterial small subunit ribosomal RNA
Source: RNAcentral